AUUUUCACUCAGUGCACAAAACCCUCAAAAAUCAUUUUAAUUGAAGACGAAGAAUCUCGAAGUGCGGUUCCGAUUCAGCUUCAAUUCGACAAACCUAAAUGCUUCACAGGUCAUUUUCUCUCUCAACACGGUGUCGUUUUCAACAGUGCAGAUAAAAAUUGCUGAAUGGAAUCCGGAAAAAAAGGAUUUAAUAAUUUAAUUAGCCAUGGCACAGAGGAAUCGAAGCUUCUCCUUCAUCGCUUCAAUUGGCAGAUAAUUUUUUACCAUCUCCCCCUUCGGAAGAACAAACUGUGUUGGUUGCUAUCGAAAUGAAGUAACUGCAGCGUCCGAGAGCUCCGGUAGUGCUUGUUAUACGAUGAUUUUACGAGCGGCCGAUCUUUCGCUUGUGUCUAUUUAAAGAGGGGGAAUUACGGAUCACAUUACGGUACCUGGACUUGGAGAACGAAAAGGUUCGACAAAUUUCUCACUUUAUGGUUGCUUCAUAGGCAGUUAGCGGUAAGUUUUAUAUGUUCAAUAAUUGGCUGAUUUCGCAUCGGUUUCAUUUUAUGAGUGUGAUUAGUCUUGAUGUAUAUUUAUAUAUUAGUAAAUGGUGAAAUUACAGUUUUUACCCCUAAAGUUUAUACCGAUUUCACAUUUGGUCCCUCAUGUUCCAAUAAUUUAACACCUUUGGUCAUCCGUCAAUUUACAGUUAGUCCGUCAGUUAAGGCAGUAAUGGACACACGUUUGAUUCCGUUAGUUUUAACGGGUAAUUGACGGAAAUGACUAUAAGUGCUGAGUUUUCGAAACACAAGUGACCAAAUGUGAUUUUUGUUAAUAUAGAGGACCAAAUAUGAAAUCGGUGCAAACUUGAGGGACAAAAUUUGUAUUUUUCCCAUUAGUUAAUCAAAGCUAAUUUUUCAAAUGAUAGCAUGAUUUGAGUCUCAUAAUUUGUCUGGCAAUUUGUUCGAUAAUAUCGAUCAAACAAAAAAAAGGCUUGAUAUGAUAUCUACUACAAGUCUAUAACAAAGUUUUCACAUCGUGAAUGGAAUGACGAAUAUAACCCUCUAUUGUGUGGCAUAUGGUUUUGGUGCAAGAAAACGAGCCUCGGUGUACAUCCCAGAAGAAGAUGAAGAUGAAAUUACUCUUCAGUCCUUACUGAUCCAGCACAUUCGCCUGCUAUUAAGAUGGAACUUACAUUCAUGAGGAACGAAGAGGGCAAUAAGAAUUGCAGAGACGAAAAUAAAACGAGCAGUAUUGUAAGAAGCCAUUGAAAUGUUUGCUUAAUUACUGUGGAAUGAAUUGCAUUGUGAGUCGUUUAUAAUCCUAUUUAUAGCUGUCAAACAACUGUGUUUACUGCUAAUUUGGUUAAUUAAUCCAAUUGCAAUAAUCAUUAUGAUUAUUUGAUUCAUAUAAUUAAUUCAAAUAUGCGAAUAUAUGGUGUAUGCAUUACUAUUUGAUACUAUUUAUAAUUAAUUCAAAUCUGAUAAUUAAGAUGGUAUAUACAUAAUCAGUCAAAUGACAAAUCUGAUAAUAUAUGGAUGCAUUAUAUCACUUAAAUCGGAUUGAGCAUGACCUUGAAUUAUUAAUUGUGUUUUUGCUAAUUAUUAAUAUGCAUGAAUUACUUUG
This is a non-coding RNA of Erythranthe guttata (spotted monkey flower), 1605 nucleotides long. NCBI's taxonomy places the organism in Eukaryota, Viridiplantae, Streptophyta, Magnoliopsida, Lamiales, Phrymaceae. The record is from RefSeq and is a predicted model, not a curated record.